UCUCCUGCCUCAGCCUCCUGAGUAGCUGGGAUUACAGGUGCGCACCACCACACCCAGCUAAUUUUUAUAUUUUUAGUAGAGACAGUGUUUCACCAUGUUGGUCAGGCUGGUAUCCUGACCUCAUGAUCCACCCACCUCAGCCUCCCAAAGUGCUGGGAUUACAGGUGUGAGCCACUGAGCCCUGCCUAUCAUAAGCAAUUUGAAAUCAUUAGACAGGUUUCACAAACAUUAGUUUGAAGGGCAGAGUCUAUCAUAUAGGUUCAUUAUAAUUUAUUCACUCAUUUCUCUUCUUGGGCAUUUUUCUUGAUCCAAAUUUCAAUCUCAUAAACAAUUUUGUCAUAAGUAUCAUUUAUCCAUUCAUUCAUUUAUCUGAGACAGACUCUUGUUCUGUUCUCCAGGCUGGAGCACAGUGGUGCAAGCACAGCUCACUUCAGCCUUGAUCCUCCGGGCUCAACUGAUCCUCCAGCCUCAGCCCCUCGAGUAGCUGGGACUAUAGUUGCAGGCCACCUUGUCUGGCUAAUUUUUUUGGUAUUUUGUGUACAGACAGGGUUUGUCAUCUUGCCCAGGCUAGUCUCCAACUGGGCUCAUGCGACCCACCCACCCUAGUCUCCCAAAGCUCUUGGAUUACAGGCAUGGACCACUACACCUGGCCCACAAACAUCUUUACUAUAACCAUGUUUCCAUGUAUUUCCAAUUACUUUCUUAGGAUAGAGAUUUCUAGAAAUAAGUCACAAGGCAGAGAUACUUUUAGGCCAGGCAUGGUGGCUUGUGACUGUAAUCCCAGAACUUCGAAGACUGAAGUAGGAGAAUAGCUUGAGGCCAGGAGUUGGAGGCUACCGUGAGCUAUGAGCACGCCACUGCAAUCCAGCCUGGGCAGAACAAGAUCCUAUCUCAAUAGUUGUAUUACAUCUUUUUUUUCCUCUUAAAAUAAGUUACGAUAAACAUCUUUUCUCUGCAUUCAUUUUCACAUAUCCUUAAGACACAUUCCCAACAGUGGAAUUCUGGAAAAAAAUGUUUAAAACACCAACAGUAGGCCAGGUGCAAUGGAUCACGCCUGUAAUCCCAGCACUUUGGGAGAGUGAGGCGGGCAGAUCACAAGGUCAGGAGCUUGAGACCAUCCUCGCUAACAUGGUGAAACCCUGCCUACUGAAAAUACAAAAAAUUGGGCCGGGCGCGGUGGCUCACACCUGUAAUCCCAGCACUUUGGGAGGCCGAGGCGAAUGGAUCACAAGGUCAGGAGUUUGAGACCAGCCUGACCAGUAUUGUAAAACCCCGUCUCUACUAAAAAUACAAAAAAUUAGCCAGGCAUGGUGGCGCGUGCCUGCAAUCCCAGCUACUUGGGAGGCUGAGGUAGGAGAGUUGCUUGAACCCGGCAGGCGGAGGUUGCAGUGAGCCGAGAUCAUCGCGCCAUUGCACUCCAGCCUGGGCGACAAAAGCAAAACUCCGUCUCAAAAAAAAAAAAAAAAGAAAAUACAGAAAAUUGGCCAGGUGUGGUGACAUGCACCUGUAGUCCCAGCUACUCAGGAGGCUGCGGUGGGAAAAUUGCUUGAACCGGGAAGGCAGAGAUGGCAGUGAGCCGAGAUCAUGCCACUGUACUCCAGCCUGGACGAGAGUGAGACACUGUCUCAAAAAAAAAAAAAACAUCGACAGUGUCUUGACAGAUCACUCUCCCACAACACUGCUGCUCCACCACACCCAGCUAAUUUUCUAUUUUUUUUCUAGAAACAUGUUCUUCAGGCAAAAACUCCUGGGCUCAAGUGAUCCUUCACUUUUGGCCUCCAAAAGUGACAGGAUUACAAGCAGAAGCCCCCUUGCCUGCCCAGCCCGGUUUACUGUUUUUUUUUUGAGAUGGGAUUUCGCUCUUGUUGCCCAGGCUACAGUGCAAUGGCACGAUCUUGGCUCACUGCAACCUCUGCCUCCCAGGUUCAAGUGAUUCUCCUGCCUCAGCCUCCCGAGUAGCUGGGAUUAUAGACAUGUGCCACCACGCCCAGCUAAUUUUGUAUUUUCAGUAGAGAUGGGGUUUCUCCAUGUUGGUCAGGCUGGUCUCGAACUGCUGACCUCAGGUGAUCCACCCACCUUGGCCUCUCAAAGUGCUGGGAUUACGAGCGUGAGCCACCUCGCCC
Molecule: long non-coding RNA, 2123 nt
Filed under: Homo sapiens (human)
Lineage: Eukaryota; Metazoa; Chordata; Mammalia; Primates; Hominidae
Description: HSALNT0383919
Source: RNAcentral